RNAcentral lists this microRNA precursor (149 nucleotides) under Oryza brachyantha (malo sina). RNAcentral's name for it is "MIR812 microRNA precursor family". It matches the Rfam family "MIR812 microRNA precursor family", at positions 27 to 190 of the family's 205-position model. Lineage: Eukaryota; Viridiplantae; Streptophyta; Magnoliopsida; Poales; Poaceae. The record is from Rfam by way of RNAcentral.
UAUAAUGUUUUGAUUCUUCGUCUUAUUUGAAAUUUUUUUGCGAUUAAUAUUUUUAUUCUUACUAAAUGAUAAAAUAUGUGACUAACUUUUUUAGGUUUUUUAUAAAUUUUUAAAUAAGACGAAUAGUCAAACGUUGGACACAGAAAAAC